UGAUCCUGGCUCAGAACGAACGUUAGCGGCGCGCCUAACACAUGCAAGUCGAGCGAGAAAGGGCUUCGGCCCCGGUAAAGCGGCGCACUGGUGAGUAACACGUAGGCAAUCUGCCUCGAGGUGGUGGAUAACCCUCCGAAAGGAGGGCUAAUACAGCAUGAGACCACGUCGUCGAAAGACGAUGACGGCCAAAGCCGGCCUCUUCAUGAAAGCUGGCGCCACGAGAUGAGCCUGCGGCCCAUCAGCUAGUUGGUAGGGUAACGGCCUACCAAGGCAAAGACGGGUAGCUGGUCUGAGAGGAUGAUCAGCCACACUGGAACUGAGACACGGUCCAGACUCCUACGGGAGGCAGCAGUGGGGAAUCUUGCGCAAUGGGCGAAAGCCUAGACGCAGCGACGCCGCGUGAGCGAUGAAGGCCUUC
RNAcentral lists this ribosomal RNA (421 nucleotides) under uncultured bacterium. RNAcentral describes it as "bacterial SSU rRNA". It matches the Rfam family "Bacterial small subunit ribosomal RNA", at positions 14 to 419 of the family's 1533-position model. The record is from RNAcentral.